This is a small nucleolar RNA of Cornus florida, 87 nucleotides long. RefSeq annotates it as small nucleolar RNA Z102/R77. The record is from RefSeq and is a predicted model, not a curated record. The transcript has a single exon. Lineage: Eukaryota; Viridiplantae; Streptophyta; Magnoliopsida; Cornales; Cornaceae.
UAAUGAGAUGAUGAUGGAGAUUUAUUUCCCUAUUGGUUUGAUCACCAGUAUGAUGGUGGCUCAUGUAUUAGCUCUAUCUGAUCAUUA